Molecule: ribosomal RNA, 468 nt
Filed under: uncultured bacterium
Lineage: Bacteria
Description: partial 16S ribosomal RNA
Rfam family: Bacterial small subunit ribosomal RNA
Source: RNAcentral
GACGAACGCUGGCGGCGUGCUUAACACAUGCAAGUCGAACGGAAAGGCCCUGCUUUUGUGGGGUGCUCGAGUGGCGAACGGGUGAGUAACACGUGAGUAACCUGACCUUGACUUUGGGAUAACUUCAGGAAACUGGGGCUAAUACCGGAUAGGAGCUCCUGCUGCAUGGUGGGGGUUGGAAAGUUUCGGCGGUUGGGGAUGGACUCGCGGCUUAUCAGCUUGUUGGUGGGGUAGUGGCUUACCAAGGCUUUGACGGGUAACCGGCCUGAGAGGGUGACCGGCCACAUUGGGACUGAGAUACGGCCCAGACUCCUACGGGAGGCAGCAGUGGGGAAUAUUGCACAAUGGGCGGAAGCCUGAUGCAGCAACGCCGCGUGCGGGAUGACGGCCUUCGGGUUGUAAACCGCUUUCGCCUGUGACGAAGCGUGAGUGACGGUAAUGGGUAAAGAAGCACCGGCUAACUACGUG